GACGAACGCUGGCGGCGUGCCUAAUACAUGCAAGUUGAACGCUUGAUUUUCACCGAAGCUUGCUUCACCGAAAAUCAAGAGUAGCGAACGGGUGAGUAACGCGUGGGUAACCUACCUAUCAGCGGGGGAUAACUAUUGGAAACGAUAGCUAAUACCGCAUAACAAUGUUGGAUGCAUAUUCGACAUUUGAAGUACCAACUGGUACACUGAGAGAUGGACCCGCGUUGUAUUAGCUAGUUGGUAGUGUAAUGGACUACCAAGGCGAUGAUACAUAGCCGACCUGAGAGGGUGAUCGGCCACAUUUGGGACUGAGACACGGCCCAAAACUCCUACGGGGAGGCAGCAGUUAAGGGAAUCUUCGGCAAAUGGACGAAAAGUCUGACCGAGCAACGCCGCGUGAGUGAAG
RNAcentral lists this ribosomal RNA (406 nucleotides) under uncultured bacterium. RNAcentral's name for it is "bacterial SSU rRNA". It matches the Rfam family "Bacterial small subunit ribosomal RNA", at positions 28 to 410 of the family's 1533-position model. The record is from RNAcentral.